RNAcentral lists this small nuclear RNA (302 nucleotides) under Castor canadensis (American beaver). Its description in RNAcentral is "7SK RNA (ENSCCNG00000017604.1)". It matches the Rfam family "7SK RNA". From Rfam's summary of the family: 7SK was discovered as an abundant small nuclear RNA in the mid-70s but a possible function has only recently been suggested. Two independent studies have found that 7SK RNA binds the CDK9/cyclin T complex (known as elongation factor P-TEFb). Lineage: Eukaryota; Metazoa; Chordata; Mammalia; Rodentia; Castoridae. The record is from RNAcentral.
AGAAGAGAGGAGGAGACAUCUGUCACCCCAUUGAUCACCGGGGUUGAUUUGGCUGAUCUGGCUUAGCUAGGUGGGGGUCCCCUUCCUCCCUUACCACUCCAUGUGUAUUCCUAUUGAAGCUGCAUGCUCAGUCCAAGAGGAUGACCAUCCCAAUAGAGGAGGACCAUUCUUCAGUCAAGGCUUUACAAAUAGCUGCCCUCCCCUCCAAAUAAGCUCUCCAAACAAGCUCUCAAGAAGAGAGAAGGAAGCUGUGCUCUGGAGAGAAAGACCUCAUCCAAAAGAGGGAUUUCCUGCUCCUCUUU